RNAcentral lists this small nuclear RNA (106 nucleotides) under Neogale vison (American mink). Lineage: Eukaryota; Metazoa; Chordata; Mammalia; Carnivora; Mustelidae. The record is from RNAcentral.
GCGCUUGCUUCAGCAACACAUACACUAAAAUUGGAACAAUACAAGAAAAGUAGCAUGGCCUGCAGGCAAGGAUGGCAUGCAAAUUCAGGAAGUGUUCCAUAUUUUU